Strongylocentrotus purpuratus (purple sea urchin) is the source of this 168-nucleotide long non-coding RNA. RefSeq lists it as uncharacterized. Lineage: Eukaryota; Metazoa; Echinodermata; Echinoidea; Camarodonta; Strongylocentrotidae. The transcript is spliced from 3 exons. The record is from RefSeq and is a predicted model, not a curated record.
GAUGAGUGGUCGAUGUCAGUAACUAAUAAUAUAUCAACAUAUUUUACAGGCUGUUCAGUUAAUGGGCCGAACAUGCAAUGUGAUACGAACAACGGAGGUGGUAGCUGUAAUUUCAACUAUAUGAUAGCAGCCGUUUCCUGCAAAGAACCAGGUUAUAUUGGAUGUUUC